Molecule: ribosomal RNA, 722 nt
Filed under: uncultured Fusobacterium sp.
Lineage: Bacteria; Fusobacteriati; Fusobacteriota; Fusobacteriia; Fusobacteriales; Fusobacteriaceae
Description: bacterial SSU rRNA
Rfam family: Bacterial small subunit ribosomal RNA
Source: RNAcentral
GAUGAACGCUGACAGAAUGCUUAACACAUGCAAGUCAACUUGAACUUCGGUUUGGGUGGCGGACGGGUGAGUAACGCGUAAAGAACUUACCUCACAGAUAGGGACAACAUUUGGAAACGAAUGCUAAUACCUGAUAUUAUGAUUUUAGGGCAUCCUAGGAUUAUGAAAGCUAUAUGCGCUGUGAGAGAGCUUUGCGUCCCAUUAGCUAGUUGGAGAGGUAACGGCUCACCAAGGCGAUGAUGGGUAGCCGGCCUGAGAGGGUGAUCGGCCACAAGGGGACUGAGACACGGCCCUUACUCCUACGGGAGGCAGCAGUGGGGAAUAUUGGACAAUGGACCAAGAGUCUGAUCCAGCAAUUCUGUGUGCACGAUGAAGUUUUUCGGAAUGUAAAGUGCUUUCAGUUGGGAAGAAAAAAAUGACAGUACCAACAGAAGAAGUGACGGCUAAAUACGUGCCGGCAGCCGCGGUAAUACGUAUGUCACAAGCGUUAUCCGGAUUUAUUGGGCGUAAAGCGCGUCUAGGUGGUUAUAUAAGUCUGAUGUGAAAAUGCAGGGCUCAACUCUGUAUUGCGUUGGAAACUGUGUAACUAGAGUACUGGAGAGGUAAGCGGAACUACAAGUGUAGAGGUGAAAUUCGUAGAUAUUUGUAGGAAUGCCGAUGGGGAAGCCAGCUUACUGGACAGAUACUGACGCUGAAGCGCGAAAGCGUGGGUAGCAAACAGG